AAUCGUACCCCAAACCGACACAGGUGGUCAGGUAGAGAAUACCAAGGCGCUUGAGAGAACUCGGGUGAAGGAACUAGGCAAAAUGGUGCCGUAACUUCGGGAGAAGGCACGCUGAUAUGUAGGUGAAGCGACUUGCUCGUGGAGCUGAAAUCAGUCGAAGAUACCAGCUGGCUGCAACUGUUUAUUAAAAACACAGCACUGUGCAAACACGAAAGUGGACGUAUACGGUGUGACGCCUGCCCGGUGCCGGAAGGUUAAUUGAUGGGGUUAGCGGUAACGCGAAGCUCUUGAUCGAAGCCCCGGUAAACGGCGGCCGUAACUAUAACGGUCCUAAGGUAGCGAAAUUCCUUGUCGGGUAAGUUCCGACCUGCACGAAUGGCGUAAUGAUGGCCAGGCUGUCUCCACCCGAGACUCAGUGAAAUUGAACUCGCUGUGAAGAUGCAGUGUACCCGCGGCAAGACGGAAAGACCCCGUGAACCUUUACUAUAGCUUGACACUGAACAUUGAGCCUUGAUGUGUAGGAUAGGUGGGAGGCUUUGAAGUGUGGACGCCAGUCUGCAUGGAGCCGACCUUGAAAUACCACCCUUUAAUGUUUGAUGUUCUAACGUAGGCCCCUUAUCGGGGUUGCGGACAGUGUCUGGUGGGUAGUUUGACUGGGGCGGUCUCCUCCUAAAGAGUAACGGAGGAGCACGAAGGUUGGCUAAUCCUGGUCGGACAUCAGGAGGUUAGUGCAAUGGCAUAAGCCAGCUUGACUGCGAGCGUGACGGCGCGAGCAGGUGCGAAAGCAGGUCAUAGUGAUCCGGUGGUUCUGAAUGGAAGGGCCAUCGCUCAACGGAUAAAAGGUACUCCGGGGAUAACAGGCUGAUACCGCCCAAGAGUUCAUAUCGACGGCGGUGUUUGGCACCUCGAUGUCGGCUCAUCACAUCCUGGGGCUGAAGUAGGUCCCAAGGGUAUGGCUGUUCGCCAUUUAAAGUGGUACGCGAGCUGGGUUUAGAACGUCGUGAGACAGUUCGGUCCCUAUCUGCCGUGGGCGCUGGAGAACUGAGGGGGGCUGCUCCUAGUACGAGAGGACCGGAGUGGACGCAUCACUGGUGUUCGGGUUGUCAUGCCAAUGGCACUGCCCGGUAGCUAAAUGCGGAAGAGAUAAGUGCUGAAAGCAUCUAAGCACGAAACUUGCCCCGAGAUGAGUUCUCCCUGACCCUUUAAGGGUCCUGAAGGAACGUUGAAGACGACGACGUUGAUAGGCCGGGUGUGUAAGCGCAGCGAUGCGUUGAGCUAACCGGUACUAAUGAACCGUGAGGCUUAACC
This 1308-nucleotide ribosomal RNA is filed under the name Escherichia sp. TW10509. RNAcentral's name for it is "bacterial LSU rRNA". It matches the Rfam family "Bacterial large subunit ribosomal RNA", at positions 1640 to 2925 of the family's 2925-position model. Lineage: Bacteria; Pseudomonadati; Pseudomonadota; Gammaproteobacteria; Enterobacterales; Enterobacteriaceae. The record is from RNAcentral.